GAUGAAGAACGCAGCGAAAUGCGAUACGUAAUGUGAAUUGCAGAAUUCAGUGAAUCAUCGAGUCUUUGAACGCACAUUGCGCCCCCUGGUAUUCCGGGGGGCAUGCCUGUCCGAGCGUCAUUGCUGCCCUCAAGCACGGCUUGUGUGUUGGGCCUCCGUCCUCCUCCCGGGGGACGGGCCCGAAAGGUAGCGGCGGCACCGCGUCCGGUCCUCGAGCGUAUGGGGCUUCGUCACCCGCUCUUGUAGGCCCGGCCGGCGCUUGCCGACACAUCAAUCUUUUUUCCAGGUUGACCUCGGAUCAGGUAGGGAUACCCGCUGAACUUAAGCAUAUCAAUAAGCGGAGGA
Molecule: unclassified non-coding RNA, 345 nt
Filed under: soil metagenome
Description: partial contains 5.8S ribosomal RNA, internal transcribed spacer 2, and large subunit ribosomal RNA
Rfam family: 5.8S ribosomal RNA (bases 1-120)
Source: RNAcentral